CUGAGUCAACCUUGAGCCGGUGAGGAUUGAAGGAAUCGAACUCCUGGCAGUGUGAGCAGAGUUAGCCUGCAAUACUCCAUUCUAACCACUAUGCCACCCUGGCUUCUGAUGUGUACCAAGGAUUCUACACAAUUUUUAAAUUAUUUGUAAUAUCUACAUAUAGGUGCCCCUCUUUUAACAACUCUGGGUGGCUUGCAUGCAACAAAACAGUAAAAAAUAGUAUAAAUGGUAUAGAAAGCAACAGCAAUCUAUAUACUACUUAAAACUCUCAUGUCUGUAACAUUUAACUUGGUGAAGGGCUGCAUCACAGAGUAGUUUUUUUUUUCAGCCAAGGUACCACAAAUUUACAGAAUGCAUUCAAAAUCUGGGAGCCAUAACUCCUACGGAAUUAAAAUUUGGUAAAUUUUAUAAAACAUUUUAUGACAUAAAAAUCAUCAUAAAGCAUUUUAUGACACAAUAUAAAGUGUCAUAGGACAUUUCCUGUGGUCAACUCUUGAUGUUUGAUGGUGCUAUAGAGUUCAACAUGGGCUGUUUUCAAGGCAGAUACACCCAUGGAUUUCUUCAUGAGUUUUCUAAUGAACUUUUUAAGUACAUUAGAAGCUCUGAUAUUGAUGAAGGCAUUGAGGAAUCCAGCAAGGAAAUAUCUCUGAAAUGAUGACCCAAGUGGAUCACAGGUUGUCUUGUCAAAAAAAAAAAAAAAAAGCAUGGUAGGACAGCGACACUUCUUCGAUGCACCCACCUUCUCAUCCCACCUAUCCCAACACCUGGGAGAAGACCCAGGUUUUAAGUAUUCUCCAGAAGGAUAGAAAGGUAGGAGCCUGCUGGAUCUCAGGGAGGAGAGUGUUCCAUAGGGCAUGGACUACAGCAAAAAAGUAGGCCUCCAAGGUCCCACAGAUGAUAAUGUUUAAGUUAAAAAAAAGAAGAAGACCUGAAGUGUGCCCACUCUAUCUGCUCAGGUAGGACAGAUAGAUAUCCUCAGGGAGAGGCAGUCUUGCAGAUAUGUGGAAUAUACAACAUUUUUGGUCAACGUUUCUCUUGUCUUUUUCUUCUGCUAAACUCUAUUGUCAAAUUAUUGUUAGCUCUGUCUGUUUACUUAUAUUAUUCGCAUCUGUGUCUCUUACACACAUUACUUGUGGGCAAAACAAAAAAUGUUAUUUUUUCAUAUCUGCACUGUAAGGUGAGUACAAAGAAUGUUUUUUAAAAAGCUGCUAGAAGAGUACUAUGAUCCCUAUCAAUUUUAUUUUGCAUAAUUUGUGAUUCGGUAAGUAUAAUCACUUCAUAGUUACAUUUUAAACCUAUUUUGUUUUUAUCUAAUUUUACUUAAUUCUUUUCUCCAGGUAUGUCCAAUUAUUACAGCAAUGCAAGGUAAAAGUGUUAAUCCUGUAGAAGUGUUAAUUUGUUGUUUUACUUUAUUUUUAAUAUAGCAAAAUAUCAAGGUCUCCAUAAACAUUAAUGGAGUUUUAAACAUGGAAACAGAAAAAAAAAUAAGAGCUGUUUGACAGACAAGUAUGUACAGGAUUUUUAUUUUUUAAUUAUUGUUUGCAAUUCCUGUUAAAGAUCGACAGCACUCUCCCUGCCACUUAUUCAGUCCAACUGUGUUUUUUUUUUUUUCAUGGCUAGCAUAAUUUAUCCAGAGUUUUCCCUACUGAAACUCUAGAUAUUCUUAUACAUCAAAUUACCAUUCUACAUCUGUCUGAAUUGGGUAGAUAUGCAUUCAGAUAACAUACAGCUUUCCUAGACAUUAGAAAGGGCAAGCACAGCUGAAGGGGUCUGGCUAUAUUAAAUAGAGAAAAAGAAGCAUACCACAAAUGGCCUGAUAGGAUAAGAGCUUUUAAUGACUUCUGGGGUUUCUGCCAAUUCUACUUUGUCCCUGCCUGCACUUGGCAUAUUCUGCUUCCAUCCCUAAACCUGUAUAAUUUUUACAUGAGUAUCAUAGGUCAUUUCUGCUUCAUCUUUCCAGAGAAAAUAUUAUCUCAGUAAGCUGCUUUAUUACAUCAUUUAUCUGAGAACUGAAGAGCUUGUGACAGAUUUCUGCCAGACCCGUUCCUCUGGAGAUGUAGAUGCCUUAGUAAUAUACACUUAAACUGCUGAAGUUCAACAGGUGAAGGAACCAGGUGAUGCUAAUCUUGAAACGACUGGAAAACAAGUGAAUUAUGGAAGUAAAAAGCAGAUAGAAUGGUUUACCUGCACCCCAAUUUUCCCUGGAAAAGGUAUGUGCUCUGGUGAAAAAGCAACCAGCAAAGAAAGUAGCAUUAAGAAUGGUUUGCUAAAAAUGGGAGAAAACAAAAUUCUUGUCCGAAAGAUUCAUGAAAGUCAGACUUGGUUCUGUCCUCUUAUUUGUUUCUCCCCUCUUUCAGAGCUAUCUCAUUUUGUUAAAAAAAAAA
Molecule: long non-coding RNA, 2384 nt
Organism: Crotalus tigris (Tiger rattlesnake)
Lineage: Eukaryota; Metazoa; Chordata; Lepidosauria; Squamata; Viperidae
Exons: 2
Source: RefSeq, a predicted model, not a curated record